This is a long non-coding RNA of Panicum virgatum (switchgrass), 439 nucleotides long. RefSeq lists it as uncharacterized. The transcript has 3 exons. Lineage: Eukaryota; Viridiplantae; Streptophyta; Magnoliopsida; Poales; Poaceae. The record is from RefSeq and is a predicted model, not a curated record.
GGAUCACCAGGAACAAAUUCGUAGGGAGGAGCAAUAGCAUCAGGAACACGUCGAGCUCAUGGAAUCAUUUGGGCAGCUACAACAACAAAUGUCAACAUGGGAAGCUGACAGGGAAGCCGAAAGGAGAGAACAUGCACGACAAAUUGAAGAAAUUAACAAGGCAAGGGAGGCUGAUAAAGAAGAGCUUAGGCGAGAGUUCCUAUCAAUGAUGCAAGCAGCAAAUGGACAGGCACCAUCUCAGUAGAUUGUCCUGCCAACAGCUAUCCAGCCAAACAACAAUGUCGCUGCAUCUGCAGAGGUGGCGGCGGCUGCAUCAAACAUGAGUACUGAAGAAGUACAGACAAACUCACCGAAUGUGCUCUCUUCUAGUCAGGUUGAGAAGCCUCAAAGCCACACAGAGCAAUCUGAAGUCGGUGGUAAACCAAGGGUAGCUAGCAUU